AGGAUUCUCCUAAGUAACCGGGCGAGUGAACAGGGAAGAGCCCAGUACCGAAGCCUAUUCGCGCUAGUGACAAGUAUGUGGUAUAAGAUGUUUGCCUGGGGCUGUUCGUCUAUACCANNNNNNNNNNNNNNNNNNNNNNNGGAUGUGGUCCAUAGCGGGUGAAAGACCCGUGGGAAUAGAUUGUCAGGCAUGUUGACAGCCCUCAGAUGCAUUCAUCGUGGAGUCGGAUAGCUUGAGAAUGCUGUCCAAAGUGGGUGGUAAACUCCAUCCAAGGCUAAAUAUUUGCACGAAACCGAUAGCUAACAAGUACCGUGAGGGAAAGUUGAAAAGUACUCUGAAGAGAGAGUAAAUAGUACGUGAAGCCGCAUCAAUGGAAGCUGGUGGAGUCAAGCUGCAUGUCUAUAGAAUGAAGUUAGUGACUAUUGUGUUGUGGUUGAGGUGGUCGGUCGAUGGCCUUGUAAAGAGGCUGACGGAUUCGUCUGUCUCCGGUGGGCAUUGGUUAGUGCCCUCGGGUUCGGCUGGCUUGUUCCUCUAUGUCACUAGCGCACUUUCUAUAUGGCAGACAUCACGGUCGGCAAUGUUGUUGGCGUUUAGUAGUCAAACCAUUAGGUAUUGGGUUUCUAAUCCAUGCCUGGUGGGACGGCAGGUAGCUUGUUAGUUGGUCUUGUGCCAGCUAGUGAGCUUUUUGUGGUUGUGACCCGCCGACUACUUUGUUAAGCAUAUAGCCAUACAACUUGCCGUUGCUCAAUGAGGCCAUGCGCUUUUGUCGUUUGUCUUGCAGGCUGCGCUUGUGUGUUUCC
Molecule: ribosomal RNA, 800 nt
Filed under: Sinodiplectanotrema argyromus
Lineage: Eukaryota; Metazoa; Platyhelminthes; Monogenea; Dactylogyridea; Diplectanidae
Description: partial 28S ribosomal RNA
Rfam family: Eukaryotic large subunit ribosomal RNA
Source: RNAcentral